Molecule: ribosomal RNA, 513 nt
Filed under: uncultured bacterium
Lineage: Bacteria
Description: partial 16S ribosomal RNA
Rfam family: Bacterial small subunit ribosomal RNA
Source: RNAcentral
GAUGAACGCUGGCGGCGUGCCUAAUACAUGCAAGUCGAGCGAACAGAUAAGGAGCUUGCUCCUUUGACGUUAGCGGCGGACGGGUGAGUAACACGUGGGUAACCUACCUAUAAGACUGGGAUAACUUCGGGAAACCGGAGCUAAUACCGGAUAAUAUUUCGAAUCGCAUGGUUCGAUAGGGAAAGAUGGUUUUGCUAUCACUUAUAGAUGGACCCGCGCCGUAUUAGCUAGUUGGUAAGGUAACGGCUUACCAAGGCGACGAUACGUAGCCGACCUGAGAGGGUGAUCGGCCACACUGGGACUGAGACACGGUCCAGGCUCCUACGGGAGGCAGCAGUAGGGAAUCUUCCGCAAUGGGCGAAAGCCUGACGGAGCAACGCCGCGUGAGUGAUGAAGGUCUUCGGAUCGUAAAACACUGUUAUUAGGGAAGAACAUACGUGUAAGUAACUGUGCACGUCUUGACGGUACCUAAUCAGAAAGCCACGGCUAACUACGUGCCAGCCGCCGCGGUAA